This 323-nucleotide ribosomal RNA is filed under the name uncultured eukaryote. Its description in RNAcentral is "partial 18S ribosomal RNA". It matches the Rfam family "Eukaryotic small subunit ribosomal RNA", at positions 1470 to 1796 of the family's 1831-position model. The record is from RNAcentral.
CCCUUCGAUGUUCGGAGCUGCACGCGCGCUACACUGUGGGUGGCAGCAUGUUAGCUUGCCUCGCUCGCAAGAGUGGGGUAAUCGUUUGAAAAUCCCACGUGAUUGGGAUAGGGACUUGUAAUUAUUUCCCUUGAACGAGGAAUUCCUAGUAAACGCAAGUCAUCAGCUUGCAUUGAUUACGUCCCUGCCCUUUGUACACACCGCCCGUCGCACCUACCGAUUGAAUGGUCCGGUGAAAUCUCGGGACGGCGGCUUGGUCGCUUGCGUCCGACUGCUGAAACUUGAUUAAACCAUAUCAUUUAGAGGAAGGUGAAGUCGUAACA